AGCUUUGUUUAUUUUUUAAGCUGGCACAGAAAUGCAGGAUAAGCUGAGCUGACCACAAGUCAUUAAAUGUUAUGACUUGAAUUGAAUGCUGAACAAUAUUGUUAAAGCAUAAAGGGAAACUCUGGAAUAAAUUAACAGGUCGUAUAAUAUCUUGUGUUUCCCAGAAACACAGCCACCCAUCUCUCUUCAACUGCUUUCUCAGCUAAAGGUGAAAUAUUUCUUCUCCAGCUCAAGGCAUCCAGGAGUCAGACAUUUAUGUUUGAGCUGGCCACAGCUGCAGCCAUGCUCCCUUUGCAGUUUACAAGGAGAAAUGGGAACUUCCAAAAGGUGAUUCAGCUUAUCCUAAGACAGAUAUCUGUGAUGGAUCAGAAGAUUUGCUCUCAGAAGGUGCCUGUUUGUCUCCACUGAAAGAUUUCCUGUGACCACCAUCUCCUCCCAGAACUGAGCUGCAGGCAGCAGGGCUCUGUGUGUGAAGAACCCUGGAGGACAGACACCUUCUUCUCUUAAACCUCCAGGAUGCUCAGGAAGUCACAACUUGUUUGGGUAUCAAGCACAAUGGAGCACUGGGAAUUUCCCUCCUGAAUGUCCAUCUUCAGUGCUCCCGUGACCAGCCAUUGCCUCAAGAAAAGCCUUGGCUUGCUCAAUUAGCAAGACAGCUCUUUGUGGAGAGUGCCGUAGCUCGCUUUGUGCCAUGGGGAAGUCCAAGCAGACCCAACUUUAAGGAUCUGGGUGCAGAUGGAGGAUGGGAAUGCAGCCCAGCCCUUCCCAAGCCAUGGUUCCACAGAGUAGCCACUGAACAGGGUAUGGUGCUUUUACCCUUAAACAGACACACGAAUGCUUCUUGCUAUAUUUGCAAAAAUAUGUGAUUAGUACUCAAAUCAAGAGAACUGAAAGCAGCUGGAACACAGGCCUUUCUUAGAGCUCAGGACUGGUUCAAGCCCUAAUUAAACCUGCAUCCAAAAGGCUGGAUGGAGCUGCCUUUGCUCACACUAAUGAAGCUUCAGUUUUCCUCUAUUGCACUGCUGUACCAUGGACUCCCACUUCUUUGCCCUGCACUGACAGAUUUGUGGAUUGAUGACAGCAUCCCUCUGACAAGCUGAGGUACAGGAAGACUUGCUGAAAGCCAAGUGGAGUUCAGCUGGUUGAAGACAUCUCAUUAUCUGCCUGGCUUGCACGUCUGCAUUUGAACUGGCCCUAUACAACCACUUUGAGCUAAGCCUCUGCUGCUUGUCCUGGCUGCACGUCUGGGACAGGUCAAUCCACAGUCUUGGUGAGCUUUGCUUUCUUCAAGAACCAGACAGAAUUCAAAGCAAAUAGCUUGGCACAGGCACCUUGUUUUCAGGAGAAGACAUCCUGAAUGGGUGAAGCAGUGGUGUCUGCAUGCUGCUGGAAUAAGGCAGCUGCAUUCCUUGGUGCCACUUGGCUGCACUCUGAAGCAGCAAUGCCCACUGGACAGCUGGGCUAUAGGGAUGCUCCAGGACAAGCCAGAGGCCUGAAAACAAGCCAGGCUUUCUGUAAAGCAUUAAUCACCCCAUGCAGGGCUGGGCACUGGGAAUGGGGCAAGGGUGCUCUCGCAGCACACACAUGGUUUCUAUCUAAGCUUUGUUUCAGCUGGAUCUUUCCCACUAACACAUCCUUCUUUAACACCUUGUACUCAUUUACUUGGGGCUGUUUAGCAGCACAAAUCAAUUAAGUGCAGCAGAAACCCACUGAGACAGGGAGAGUUCCCUAUCUCUGGUUCGGCCGGGGUGGGAGGCACGCAGAGGUUAAGCUUGUGCUUUUUACCACACAGGGAGCAAGGGUGGAGCAUGGAGCAGCCCCCAGCUCACCUCCUCUGUGGGUUUCAGCUCUCAGCAGCCUCAGAGAGACUCACAGCUGCUCCAGGAGCUCUGAGGGCCUUGGGGAGCUUCUCAUCUGGCAUCAAAUAAUCAGAGAACUGGAGAGUGCCAGCUCUGCUGCAAUAUCCCACUGAGAUUGGCCCAGGGAGCCUCACUGAACAGGGCUGAGCAGUCCUGAGGUACCAGCUGUGUCCUGUAGCAGGGACAGGGUACAGUGAGGGCCUCCAAGCUCACCUUCAUGUGUCUCACAGGUUUGUCCAUCAUGAAAUUGCCUGUACCUGCUGGGGAAUCAUGAAAUUGCCUGUACCUGCUGGGGAAGUCACUGCUUAGUGGUUUAACUGGUCCCACUGGCCAGAGGGACAUGCAGGAGUUUAGGAAGUAGCAAAGCCAUAAAAUAUGAAUGAGAACAGAGUCAGAAAAAAUGAGUGGCUUUAAAAUAAUCAUUUGGUUGGUCUUAUUCCAAGUGCAGCACCAGCUCAGCAUGCCAAGCAGAGCUCAGGAAGUGCCUUCCGGCUGUCAGCCCCAUGGGAACGGGAUGCAGGGAUGUGCCUCUGCUUCAGGCUGGGCUGGAGCUUCUCACACACAACACAGGCCCCAGAAACAGGAGACAGUAAUUCAAGCCACAUGAUAAAGCUGAUCCACACAAUGAAGGAAGAUAAAGCCUAACCAAGCAAUUCCUGCUCCUCGUGGGUGUCUCUCAGGAGGGCCUGAGGCUGUAGGACAUGCCCUCGGCUCACAGAGACCAUUAAUCAUAAGUGUGCCUUAGUCCCUGGCUAUUUUAAUCACUGUUGAAAUACACACUCCUAAAAAUGGUAUUUGAUUCCAAUGCACAUGAUUUCCUUUGGCUUCCUUUCCCCCAGUUAAGUUCAAGCUGUAACUGCUUGGAAGUCUGGGAUCCAUACAUUUGCUUCUCACCUGUCAUGGAGCAAAAAACACUUGGUACUACACAUAGCAUCAGAUCUGUGACACCAGACAUAAAUAUCAGAAUAUACUGUAAUGGGGCUGUGGUCUGAGUGUGCUACCACCUGUCCUGUGCAGUGGCACACUGAAAAUGUCACUGGGUCCUACUGGAUCAUCAGUCCUUCCCUGUUCCACUUUAUAAUGUAAUGAUUGAAAAUGCCUCUUGUAUAUGCUAGCACUAAUCAGGAUGUCAGUCUGUUGUGGGAGAAGUGAAUGAAUCAUCAGGAAUGGAUGAACUGGGGGUAUAUUUGUAAAGGGUAGGCUGUAGAAACCAGUUAGUCUUUAAUUUUUCCUUUAAAAAAUGCGAAGCAAAAGUCACAGGAAGUUUAAGGAGAAAACAAAUUGCUCUUCCACAGACUGAGAAGCACAGCAGAGAGUCCUUGUACUGCUCAGCUUCUCUCAUGAUGCAAAUGAGCAGCCUGAGGAGUCUGGGGGUGCCUUCCUUUAAGUACAGACUAAAUGCAUUGUGCCCAGCUCCAUGGGCUUACUGGUACUCUAAUUUACAAACUGAAUUUCUCUGCAUUUUUUGUCUAUGAGGGUGUUGCUAUUGAGUUUAAAGAACCAAUCUGAGUUUACAGACAGAAAGAAAAAGUGAAGUUUACAGGAAUAUCAACUUAAAAAUGUAAGGAACAUUUUGCAGGUACACUAAUCAUCAGGGACCCCUUUAGUAUUUGUCACACUGAGCCAGGUCAUAGGCCCAUGACACCAGGACAAAUAGCCAAGAGGACUCCUCGCAAUUAUAACCUGGGGUUUAAAUCAUUACACCCAGCAACAUUAUUUACCU
Molecule: long non-coding RNA, 3582 nt
Organism: Parus major (Great Tit)
Lineage: Eukaryota; Metazoa; Chordata; Aves; Passeriformes; Paridae
Exons: 10
Source: RefSeq, a predicted model, not a curated record